Molecule: ribosomal RNA, 497 nt
Filed under: uncultured bacterium
Lineage: Bacteria
Description: partial 16S ribosomal RNA
Rfam family: Bacterial small subunit ribosomal RNA
Source: RNAcentral
GACGAACGCUGGCGGCGUGCCUAAUACAUGCAAGUUGAGCGCUGAAGGUUGGUACUUGUACCAACUGGAUGAGCAGCGAACGGGUGAGUAACGCGUGGGUAAUCUGCCUUUGAGCGGGGGACAACAUUUGGAAACGAAUGCUAAUACCGCAUAAAAACUUUAAACACAAGUUUUAAGUUUGAAAGAUGCAAUUGCAUCACUCAAAGAUGAUCCCGCGUUGUAUUAGCUAGUUGGUGAGGUAAAGGCUCACCAAGGCGAUGAUACAUAGCCGACCUGAGAGGGUGAUCGGCCACAUUGGGACUGAGACACGGCCCAAACUCCUACGGGAGGGAGCAGUAGGGAAACUUCGGAAAUGGACGAAAGGCUGAACGAGCAACGCCGCGUGAGUGAAGAAGGGUUUCGGAUCGUAAAACUCUGUUGGUAGAGAAGAAAGUUGGUGAGGGUGGAAAGCUCAUCAAGUGACGGUAACUACCCAGAAAGGGACGGCUAACUACGUG